GGGUCAGUAGGUUGGUCGUGCCACCGGUACGUACUGGUCUCACUGAUUCCUCCUUCCUGAAGAACCGUAAUGCCAUUAAUUUGGUGUUGCGGGGAAACAGGACUGUUACUUUGAAAAAAUUAGAGUGUUUAAAGCAAGCUAACGCUCGAAUACAUUAGCAUGGAAUAACGAAAUAGGACGAUCGAUCCUAUUUUGUUGGUUUCUAGGAUUGACGUA
Molecule: ribosomal RNA, 216 nt
Filed under: Glomeromycotina sp.
Lineage: Eukaryota; Fungi; Glomeromycota
Description: partial small subunit ribosomal RNA
Rfam family: Eukaryotic small subunit ribosomal RNA (bases 44-216)
Source: RNAcentral